UGGAAAGGCGUCUGUAGAAGUGCUAAGUUGUAACCUUAGUUAUGGUUGAUUACCCCUUUUCAC
RNAcentral lists this transfer RNA (63 nucleotides) under Cryptonema producta. Its description in RNAcentral is "tRNA-Tyr". The record is from RNAcentral. Lineage: Eukaryota; Metazoa; Mollusca; Bivalvia; Venerida; Veneridae.